RNAcentral lists this ribosomal RNA (429 nucleotides) under Bacillota bacterium. RNAcentral describes it as "Firmicutes bacterium partial 16S ribosomal RNA". It matches the Rfam family "Bacterial small subunit ribosomal RNA", at positions 355 to 776 of the family's 1533-position model. The record is from RNAcentral. Lineage: Bacteria; Bacillati; Bacillota.
UGGGGAAUUUUGGACAAUGGGGGCAACCCUGAUCCAGCAAUGCCGCGUGUGUGAAGAAGGCCUUCGGGUUGUAAAGCACUUUUGUCCGGGAAGAAAUCGCACCUGAUAAUACCGGGUGUGGAUGACGGUACCGGAAGAAUAAGGACCGGCUAACUACGUGCCAGCAGCCGCGGUAAUACGUAGGUUCCAAGCGUUAAUCGGAAUUACUGGGCGUAAAGCGUGCGCAGGCGGUUGUGCAAGACCGAUGUGAAAUCCCCGGGCUUAACCUGGGAAUUGCAUUGGUGACUGCACGGCUAGAGUGUGUCAGAGGGGGGUAGAAUUCCACGUGUAGCAGUGAAAUGCGUAGAGAUGUGGAAGAAUACCGAUGGCGAAGGCAGCCCCCUGGGAUAACACUGACGCUCAUGCACGAAAGCGUGGGGAGCAAACAGG